RNAcentral lists this ribosomal RNA (492 nucleotides) under uncultured bacterium. RNAcentral's name for it is "partial 16S ribosomal RNA". It matches the Rfam family "Bacterial small subunit ribosomal RNA", at positions 28 to 507 of the family's 1533-position model. The record is from RNAcentral.
GAUGAACGCUAGCUACAGGCUUAACACAUGCAAGUCGAGGGGAAACGGCAUUGAGUGCUUGCACUCUUUGGACGUCGACCGGCGCACGGGUGAGUAACGCGUAUCCAACCUUCCCAUUACUGUGGGAUAACCUGCUGAAAGGCAGACUAAUACCGCAUAGUCUUCGAUGACGGCAUCAGAUUUGAAGUAAAGAUUUAUCGGUAAUGGAUGGGGAUGCGUCUGAUUAGCUUGUUGGCGGGGUAACGGCCCACCAAGGCGACGAUCAGUAGGGGUUCUGAGAGGAAGGUCCCCCACAUUGGAACUGAGACACGGUCCAAACUCCUACGGGAGGCAGCAGUGAGGAAUAUUGGUCAAUGGACGGAAGUCUGAACCAGCCAAGUAGCGUGCAGGAUGACGGCCCUAUGGGUUGUAAACUGCUUUUGUAUGGGGAUAAAGUUAGGGACGUGUCCCUAUUUGCAGGUACCAUACGAAUAAGGACCGGCUAAUUCCGUG